Molecule: ribosomal RNA, 774 nt
Filed under: uncultured Neocallimastigales
Lineage: Eukaryota; Fungi; Neocallimastigomycota; Neocallimastigomycetes; Neocallimastigales
Description: partial large subunit ribosomal RNA
Rfam family: Eukaryotic large subunit ribosomal RNA
Source: RNAcentral
UAGAUGCGAGAGUAGAGCAUAUCAAUAAGCGGAGGAAAAGAAACUAACAAGGAUUCCCUUAGUAACGGCGAGUGAAGCGGGAAGAGCUCAAAUUUGAAAUCUUCAAGGUUCUACCUUGACGAAUUGUAGUUUAAAGAAGUGUUUUCUGUUAGAUGAGUAGCAAAAGUUCCUUGGAAUGGGACAUCAUAGAGGGUGAGAAUCCCGUAUUUGGUUAUUCAUUCUAGCUUUGUGAUACACUUUCAAAGAGUCGGAUUGUUUGGGAAUGCAGUCCAAAAUGGGUGGUAAAUUUCAUCUAAAGCUAAAUAUUGGCGAGAGACCGAUAGCGAACAAGUACCGUGAGGGAAAGAUGAAAAGAACUUUGAAAAGAGAGUUAAACAGUACGUGAAAUUGUCAAAAGGGAAGCGUUUGACACCAGUGUUGUUUUUCCGAAAAUCAAUUACGAAUGGCUUGAUUUUGUGUUGUAUUGACCUUAUCAGCUUUCUUCACUUUUUUCGAGUCUUUCUUAAUGCACUUUUCGGUUAACAAGUCAACAUCAAUUUCUUUUGUUGUAAAAGAGUAUUCGGAAGGUGGCUUUCUUUUCGGAGAAAGUGUUUAUAGCCCUAUACUUCUACAAUCGGAGAGAUUGAGGUCUGCAGCGUAGAUCCUUCGGGGUUAGAUACAUUUGUGCUAAGUUGUAGCUUUUCAUAGACAACUUGUUGACUAUGUUUAGUCAUGCGGCUUACUCGCUUAUGCUAUUUUACCUACGCUUAGGAUGUUGAGCGCAUGUCUCUCUCU